AAGUAAAGUCCGAAUUCUUAUGGGAAGCAUAAAGUGAGAUAAUCAAAGCCCCUCUGCUUCCUUUCUUAUAACCUAGGAUUAUAAUAAUAAGGUGAGAAGGGUAGAAGGGGAUAUAUGGAUAAGAUGCAGAUGCAGAUGAGAGAUAAUAAGGAUCUGAAGUUUUAGGAUAAGUUUAGCAUUUAAUGUGAGAUACCGGGGGGGGGGUGACUGAAAGAUAAGAUGAUAAUCCUUUCUUUCUUUACCCUCCGUAAGGUUUGAAUAUAAAAAAGAUAAGCCCUAAAUGAAAAGAACCAGAUCAGAUCCAGAGAGAGAAAACAAUAUGUCUGUUUUGCUUUUUUUAUUAUUAUAAAUAAUAAUAAUAAUUAUUAGAAUAAUAAUAAUAAUAAUAAUAAUAAUUAUAAUAAUAAUAAUAAUAAUGUGCCUCAAGCUAAUUAAUUUUCAGAUCUAUGCCUUAUAUCCCAGUAAAAUAUAUCUCUUCCCCCUUCCGACGAAUAAGUCCCUCACCUUUCCAGCUGAUACAUCCAUCUCAAGUUUUGAGGCCCAAAGGAGGAGUCGUAGGGGAGUGGUGGCAGGUGGGGUAAAGUAAGGGUGGGGGGGGGCUAAUAAGGCAAACAGAUGCUAUUUUAAUCAAGGAAUAUAAUAGGGAGUAAAGGUGGGCUUGAGAGGGAAUAGGGUAGUACGACGUCAAGACUCUGAAAUAGCUGAAACUAUCCGGACUUCAUUCCUAAAUGGGCUAAAGCGAGAAUACUUCCUCAUAUCAAGCUAUACGGUAUGAAUCGAUGAUGUGGCUGUUAUAGCUAAUAAAUAGCUUUUCUCUCUUCCCCCUGAGCUCAACACUAAUUCGCAUGUUUCAUAUUUUUCUAGGUUGUAAUGAUAAUGAGGAGUACAGGUUAAGCUUUAUAAAGGUCGGAGGGGUGAAGGUAAGAUCGUAAGAAUAAAAAUUUAGUUUAGUACCCUCAUAGACAGCAUAACUUGAUUCGGCUUAC
RNAcentral lists this non-coding RNA (986 nucleotides) under Austropuccinia psidii. Lineage: Eukaryota; Fungi; Basidiomycota; Pucciniomycetes; Pucciniales; Sphaerophragmiaceae. The record is from RNAcentral.